AGUGAACGCUGGCGGCGUGCCUAAUACAUGCAAGUCGAACGAUGAAGUCCUAGCUUGCUAGGAUGGAUUAGUGGCGCACGGGUGAGUAAUAUAUAGUUAAUCUGCCCUACACAGAGGAACAACAGUUGGAAACGGCUGCUAAUACCUCAUACUCCUAUUUGACAUAAGUUAAAUAGGGAAAGUCUUUUCGGUGUAGGAUGAGACUAUAUCGUAUCAGCUAGUUGGUAAGGUAAUGGCUUACCAAGGCUAUGACGCGUAACUGGUCUGAGAGGAUGAUCAGUCACAUUGGAACUGAGACACGGUCCAAACUCCUACGGGAGGCAGCAGUAAGGAAUAUUGCGCAAUGGGGGAAACCCUGACGCAGCAACGCCGCGUGGAGGAUGACACUUUUCGGAGCGUAAACUCCUUUUAUCAGGAAAGAAUAAUGACGGUACCUGAUGAAUAAGCACCGGCUAACUCCGUGCCAGCAGCCGCGGUAAUACGGGGGGUGCAAGCGUUACUCGGAAUCACUGGGCGUAAAGGACGCGUAGGCGGAUUAUCAAGUCUUUUGUGAAAUCUAGUGGCUUAACCACUAAACUGCUUAGGAAACUGAUAGUCUAGAGUAGGGGAGAGGUAGAUGGAAUUCUUGGUGUAGGGGUAAAAUCCGCAGAGAUCAAGAAGAACUCCCUUUGUGAAACGAUUUGCUGGAAACCUAACUGACGCCCAUGCGGGAAGUGUGGGUGUUAAAAAUCAUACUAUCCUCUGGUUUUUUAAGGGUGAUUUCCCCCUUGUAUUUCAGCUAUCGAUCCCCCCCCCUCCCGGGGGGGGCCCAAUCAUAAAAAAUUGUUCUUUUUUGCUAGUUUAUUUACCCUCCGAAAAGGGU
This 862-nucleotide ribosomal RNA is filed under the name uncultured Enterobacteriaceae bacterium. Its description in RNAcentral is "partial 16S ribosomal RNA". It matches the Rfam family "Bacterial small subunit ribosomal RNA", at positions 28 to 810 of the family's 1533-position model. Lineage: Bacteria; Pseudomonadati; Pseudomonadota; Gammaproteobacteria; Enterobacterales; Enterobacteriaceae. The record is from RNAcentral.